AACGAACGCUGGCGGCGCGCCUAACACGUGCAAGUCGAACGAGAAGGCGUAGCAAUACGCUUGUAGAGUGGCGAACGGGUGAGUAAUACGUGGGUGACCUACCUCGAGUGGGGAAUAACCCGCCGAAAGGCGGGCUAAUGCCGCGUACGCUUCCGUCCUCACGGGGACGAAGGAAAGCUGUACCGUGGGUACGGCGCUCAAGGAUGGGCUCACGUCCUAUCAGCUUGUUGGUAGGGUAACGGCCUACCAAGGCUACGACGGGUAGCUGGUCUGAGAGGACGAUCAGCCACACUGGCACUGCGACACGGGCCAGACUCCUACGGGAGGCAGCAGUGAGGAAUAUUGCGCAAUGGGCGAAAGCCU
This 363-nucleotide ribosomal RNA is filed under the name uncultured bacterium. RNAcentral's name for it is "bacterial SSU rRNA". It matches the Rfam family "Bacterial small subunit ribosomal RNA", at positions 29 to 384 of the family's 1533-position model. The record is from RNAcentral.